CCUUCCAGAGGUUUCUUCUGAG
This 22-nucleotide microRNA is filed under the name Taeniopygia guttata (zebra finch). RNAcentral describes it as "tgu-miR-2996". Lineage: Eukaryota; Metazoa; Chordata; Aves; Passeriformes; Estrildidae. The record is from miRBase by way of RNAcentral.